UCUUGAUGCAGUUUCGGAUGCAGACUAUUUGCUGAUACAAGGUACUAUUGCUGCUUUUGCCGCAAAUAGAGUAGGAAGUCGAAGUUACUCAUGAUGCCAGCAGGUAAUUAUUCUGCUAAGCACAGUUGGAGAAUGUCUACACAUUAAAGGUUCAGUGAUGAGGCUGCUGCUAUUUCGCGACCUGUCAAAUUUCCCCAUCUGAUCUGAAACCUUUUGUAAUCUGCAAGUCUCGUAUUUCCUUUCGAAUUAGUUAGUAUAGCUGGAUUAUAGGAAAGCAAUCAUGCGCAGUAUACACGUAGAAAUUGGUUUAGCAGGA
RNAcentral lists this unclassified non-coding RNA (316 nucleotides) under Hevea brasiliensis (rubber tree). The record is from RNAcentral. Lineage: Eukaryota; Viridiplantae; Streptophyta; Magnoliopsida; Malpighiales; Euphorbiaceae.